UGAGCAAUCUGCCCUUCACAUCGGGAUAACCCCCGGAAACGGGAGCUAAUACCGGAUACGACCACUUCAGGCAUCUGAUGGUGGUGGAAAGUUCUGGCGGUGAAGGAUGAGCUCGCGGCCUAUCAGCUUGUUGGUGAGGUAAUGGCCCACCAAGGCUUCGACGGGUAGCCGGCCUGAGAGGGUGACCGGCCACACUGGGACUGAGACACGGCCCAGACUCCUACGGGAG
RNAcentral lists this ribosomal RNA (229 nucleotides) under uncultured bacterium. RNAcentral's name for it is "partial 16S ribosomal RNA". It matches the Rfam family "Bacterial small subunit ribosomal RNA", at positions 118 to 347 of the family's 1533-position model. The record is from RNAcentral.